RNAcentral lists this ribosomal RNA (468 nucleotides) under uncultured bacterium. RNAcentral's name for it is "partial 16S ribosomal RNA". It matches the Rfam family "Bacterial small subunit ribosomal RNA", at positions 28 to 507 of the family's 1533-position model. The record is from RNAcentral.
GACGAACGCUGGCGGCGUGCUUAACACAUGCAAGUCGAACGGAAAGGCCCUGCUUUUGUGGGGUGCUCGUGUGGCGAACGGGUGUGUCACACGAGAGUAUCCUGCCCCAGCCAGUGAGAAAACUUGAAGACACUGGGUAUAAUCUAAGAUAAUAGCACUUGCUGCUUGGAUGAGGAUGGAAAGUUUAGGCGGUUGGGGAUGGCCUCGCGGCUUAUUAGCUUGUUGGUGGGGUAGUGGCUUACCAAGGCGUUGGUGGGUAGCCGGCCUGAGAGGGUGACCGGCCACAUUGGGACUGAGAUACGGCCCAGAACCCUACGGGGGGGAACAGGUGGGAAUAUUGCACAAUGGGCGGAAGCGUGUGGCAGCAACGUUGCGUGCGGGAUGACGGGCUUCGGGUAGUAAACAGUGUUCGCCGGUGACGAAGCGUGAGUGACGGUAAUGGGUAAAGAAGCACCGGCUAACUACGUG